GGGUUGUGAGGUUAAGCGACUAAGCGUACACGGUGGAUGCCCUGGCAGUCAGAGGCGAUGAAGGGCGUGCUAAUCUGCGAUAAGCGCCGGUAAGGUGAUAUGAACCGUUAUAACCGGCGAUACCCGAAUGGGGAAACCCAGUGUGACUCGUCACACUAUCAUUAACUGAAUCCAUAGGUUAAUGAGGCGAACCGGGGGAACUGAAACAUCUAAGUACCCCGAGGAAAAGAAAUCAACCGAGAUUCCCCCAGUAGCGGCGAGCGAACGGGGAGGAGCCCAGAGCCUGAAUCAGCAUGUGUGUUAGUGGAAGCGUCUGGAAAGGCGCGCGAUACAGGGUGACAGCCCCGUACACAAAAGCGCAUGUGCUGUGAGCUCGAUGAGUAGGGCGGGACACGUGGUAUCCUGUCUGAAUAUGGGGGGACCAUCCUCCAAGGCUAAAUACUCCUGACUGACCGAUAGUGAACCAGUACCGUGAGGGAAAGGCGAAAAGAACCCCGGCGAGGGGAGUGAAAAAGAACCUGAAACCGUGUACGUACAAGCAGUGGGAGCACAGGUUUACCUGUGUGACUGCGUACCUUUUGUAUAAUGGGUCAGCGACUUAUAUUCUGUAGCAAGGUUAACCGAAUAGGGGAGCCGGAGGGAAACCGAGUCUUAAUUGGGCGUUAAGUUGCAGGGUAUAGACCCGAAACCCGGUGAUCUAGCCAUGGGCAGGUUGAAGGUUGGGUAACACUAACUGGAGGACCGAACCGACUAAUGUUGAAAAAUUAGCGGAUGACCUGUGGCUGGGGGUGAAAGGCCAAUCAAACCGGGAGAUAGCUGGUUCUCCCCGAAAGCUAUUUAGGUAGCGCCUCGUGAAUUCAUCUCCGGGGGUAGAGCACUGUUUCGGCUAGGGGGCCAUCCCGGCUUACCAACCCGAUGCAAACUGCGAAUACCGGAGAAUGUUAUCACGGGAGACACACGGCGGGUGCUAACGUCCGUCGUGAAGAGGGAAACAACCCAGACCGCCAGCUAAGGUCCCAAAGUCAUGGUUAAGUGGGAAACGAUGUGGGAAGGCCCAGACAGCCAGGAUGUUGGCUUAGAAGCAGCCAUCAUUUAAAGAAAGCGUAAUAGCUCACUGGUCGAGUCGGCCUGCGCGGAAGAUGUAACGGGGCUAAACCAUGCACCGAAGCUGCGGCAGCGACACUGUGUGUUGUUGGGUAGGGGAGCGUUCUGUAAGCCUGUGAAGGUGUGUCGUGAGGCAUGCUGGAGGUAUCAGAAGUGCGAAUGCUGACAUAAGUAACGAUAAAGCGGGUGAAAAGCCCGCUCGCCGGAAGACCAAGGGUUCCUGUCCAACGUUAAUCGGGGCAGGGUGAGUCGACCCCUAAGGCGAGGCCGAAAGGCGUAGUCGAUGGGAAACAGGUUAAUAUUCCUGUACUUGGUGUUACUGCGAAGGGGGGACGGAGAAGGCUAUGUUGGCCGGGCGACGGUUGUCCCGGUUUAAGCGUGUAGGUGUGUGUUCCAGGUAAAUCCGGUUCACUUUAACACUGAGGCGUGAUGACGAGGCACUACGGUGCUGAAGCAACAAAUGCCCUGCUUCCAGGAAAAGCCUCUAAGCAUCAGGUAACAUCAAAUCGUACCCCAAACCGACACAGGUGGUCAGGUAGAGAAUACCAAGGCGCUUGAGAGAACUCGGGUGAAGGAACUAGGCAAAAUGGUGCCGUAACUUCGGGAGAAGGCACGCUGACACGUAGGUGAAGUGAUUUACUCAUGGAGCUGAAGUCAGUCGAAGAUACCAGCUGGCUGCAACUGUUUAUUAAAAACACAGCACUGUGCAAACACGAAAGUGGACGUAUACGGUGUGACGCCUGCCCGGUGCCGGAAGGUUAAUUGAUGGGGUCAGCGCAAGCGAAGCUCCUGAUCGAAGCCCCGGUAAACGGCGGCCGUAACUAUAACGGUCCUAAGGUAGCGAAAUUCCUUGUCGGGUAAGUUCCGACCUGCACGAAUGGCGUAAUGAUGGCCAGGCUGUCUCCACCCGAGACUCAGUGAAAUUGAACUCGCUGUGAAGAUGCAGUGUACCCGCGGCAAGACGGAAAGACCCCGUGAACCUUUACUAUAGCUUGACACUGAACAUUGAGCCUUGAUGUGUAGGAUAGGUGGGAGGCUUUGAAGUGUGGACGCCAGUCUGCAUGGAGCCGACCUUGAAAUACCACCCUUUAAUGUUUGAUGUUCUAACGUGGACCCGUAAUCCGGGUUGCGGACAGUGUCUGGUGGGUAGUUUGACUGGGGCGGUCUCCUCCUAAAGAGUAACGGAGGAGCACGAAGGUUGGCUAAUCCUGGUCGGACAUCAGGAGGUUAGUGCAAUGGCAUAAGCCAGCUUGACUGCGAGCGUGACGGCGCGAGCAGGUGCGAAAGCAGGUCAUAGUGAUCCGGUGGUUCUGAAUGGAAGGGCCAUCGCUCAACGGAUAAAAGGUACUCCGGGGAUAACAGGCUGAUACCGCCCAAGAGUUCAUAUCGACGGCGGUGUUUGGCACCUCGAUGUCGGCUCAUCACAUCCUGGGGCUGAAGUAGGUCCCAAGGGUAUGGCUGUUCGCCAUUUAAAGUGGUACGCGAGCUGGGUUUAGAACGUCGUGAGACAGUUCGGUCCCUAUCUGCCGUGGGCGCUGGAGAACUGAGGGGGGCUGCUCCUAGUACGAGAGGACCGGAGUGGACGCAUCACUGGUGUUCGGGUUGUCAUGCCAAUGGCACUGCCCGGUAGCUAAAUGCGGAAGAGAUAAGUGCUGAAAGCAUCUAAGCACGAAACUUGCCCCGAGAUGAGUUCUCCCUGAGACUUUAAGUCUCCUGAAGGAACGUUGAAGACGACGACGUUGAUAGGCCGGGUGUGUAAGCGCAGCGAUGCGUUGAGCUAACCGGUACUAAUGAACCGUGAGGCUUAACCUUACAACGCCGAAG
This 2928-nucleotide ribosomal RNA is filed under the name Salmonella enterica subsp. enterica serovar Newport str. WA_14882. RNAcentral's name for it is "bacterial LSU rRNA". It matches the Rfam family "Bacterial large subunit ribosomal RNA". Lineage: Bacteria; Pseudomonadati; Pseudomonadota; Gammaproteobacteria; Enterobacterales; Enterobacteriaceae. The record is from RNAcentral.